ACCGAUUGACUUAAGCAUAUCAAUAAGCGGAGGAAAAGAAACCAACAGGGAUUGCCUUAGUAACGGCGAGUGAAGCGGCAACAGCUCAAAUUUGAAAUCUGGCCCUUGGGUCCGAAUUGUAAUUUGUAGAGGAUGAUUUUGGUGCGGUAUCUUCCGAGUUCCUUGGAACAGGACGCCUUAGAGGGUGAGAGCCCCGUACGGUUGAAUGCCUAGCCUCUGUAAAUCUCCUUCGACGAGUCGAGUAGUUUGGGAAUGCUGCUCUAAAUGGGAGGUAAAUUUCUUCUAAAGCUAAAUAUUGGCCAGAGACCGAUAGCGCACAAGUAGAGUGAUCGAAAGAUGAAAAGCACUUUGAAAAGAGGGUUAAAUAGCACGUGAAAUUGUUGAAAGGGAAGGAUUUGUGACCAGACUUUUUCUGGGCGGAUCAUCCGGGGUUCUCUCCGGUGCACUUCGCCCAGUAAAGGCCAGCAUCGGUUUUCGGCGUGGGAUAAAAGCAGUAGGAAUGUGGCUCUCUACGGGGAGUGUUAUAGCCUAUUGUAUAAUACCGCGCUGGGGACCGAGGUUCGCGCUUCUGCAAGGAUGCUGGCGUAAUGGUUAUCAAUCACCCGUCUUGAAACACGGACCAAGGAGUCGAACAUUUGUGCGAGUGUUUGGGUGUUAAACCCUCACGCGUAAUGAAAGUGAACGGAGGUGAGAGCCCUUACGGGUGCAUCAUCGACCGAUCCUGAAGUUUUCGGAUGGAUUUGAGUAAGAGCAUAACUGUUCGGACCCGAAAGAUGGUGAACUAUGCGUGGAUAGGGUGAAGCCAGAGGAAACUCUGGUGGAGGCUCGCAGCGGUUCUGACGUGCAAAUCGAUCGUCAAAUCUGCGCAUGGGGGCGAAAGACUAAUCGAACCAUCUAGUAGCUGGUACCGCCAAAUCUCCC
RNAcentral lists this ribosomal RNA (921 nucleotides) under Neopestalotiopsis clavispora. RNAcentral's name for it is "partial large subunit ribosomal RNA". It matches the Rfam family "Eukaryotic large subunit ribosomal RNA", at positions 24 to 972 of the family's 3401-position model. Lineage: Eukaryota; Fungi; Ascomycota; Sordariomycetes; Amphisphaeriales; Sporocadaceae. The record is from RNAcentral.